GAUGAACGCUAGCGGCAGGCUUAAUACAUGCAAGUCGUGGGGCAGCAUGAGUAGCAAUACUUGAUGGCGACCGGCAAACGGGUGAGGAACACGUACACAACCUUCCUUCAAGCGGGGAAUAGCCCAGAGAAAUUUGGAUUAAUACCCCAUAAUAUAUUUGAUAAGGCAUCUUAUUAAAUAUUAAAGCUUUCGGCACUUGAUGAUGGGUGUGCGGCUGAUUAGAUAGUUGCGGGUAACGGCCCACCAAGUCUACGAUCAGUAGCUGAUGUGAGAGCAUGAUCAGCCACACGGGCACUGAGACACGGGCCCGAUCCUACGGGAGGCAGCAGUAAGGAUAUUGGACAAUGGACGAGAGUCUGAUCCAGCCAUGCCGCGUGAAGGAUU
Molecule: ribosomal RNA, 384 nt
Filed under: uncultured bacterium
Lineage: Bacteria
Description: bacterial SSU rRNA
Rfam family: Bacterial small subunit ribosomal RNA
Source: RNAcentral